UUACUAGAUUAGUCAUAUAUUUUUUACCACGAAAGGUAGUGAGUUAAAUACAAUUAAUUAUAGGUGUGAACUGUUACGUGUUAUAGUGACAUAAUAAUUAUAUUUUGCAGUGAUAGGCCUGUCAAGCUAUUUGAUAACUUGUUGUGUAAGAAACAUAUUAAGUAUUAGGUCAUACUACUAAAGUUAAGCUUUGUAGUGAGUAUAAAUGUAGAUAAAUGUUUAACGUUAUAGUUUAAUCACUAAACUAUUGUGUAUAUAAACAUAAAUAAUUAGUAUUUGUAUUUAUUAUUGCACUAUAUAGUCUUUAUUAGUUAUAUUAAUAAUGUAAGUAUGAGUAAUAAAUUAAAUAUAGUAAAGGAACUCGGCAAAUUACUGCUCAACUGUUUAUCAAAAACAUAACUAUAUGAUAUAAUAUAUAGCCCCUCUGCUCAAUGGUAUACUAAAUAGCCGCAGUACUCUGACUGUGCAAAGGUAGCAUAAUCAAUUGGCUUUUAAUUAAAGUCUAGAAUGAAUGAAAACAUGGGUAGUGACUGUCUACUAUUAUAUUUUAUUGAAUUUAAUAAGUAGGUGCAAAUGCCUACAAAGUUAAAAAAGACGAGAAGACCCUAGAAACUUGUAUACUUAUUUUGUUGGGGCGACAGAAUUACAGAGAACUAAUUUUAUUUUACAGGACGAAAGCAGAUAGAGUAAGUUACUCUAGGGAUAACAGCAUAAUUUUACAGUUUGUGACCUCGAUGUUGGACUAGGUAAAUAAUUUUUUAGAAGGAAAUUUAAAUGCUCUGUUCGAGCAACGCGUACCUACAUGAUCUGAGUU
RNAcentral lists this ribosomal RNA (814 nucleotides) under Otala punctata. Its description in RNAcentral is "partial large subunit ribosomal RNA". The record is from RNAcentral. Lineage: Eukaryota; Metazoa; Mollusca; Gastropoda; Stylommatophora; Helicidae.